This 62-nucleotide transfer RNA is filed under the name Platypus contaminatus. RNAcentral describes it as "tRNA-Tyr". Lineage: Eukaryota; Metazoa; Arthropoda; Insecta; Coleoptera; Curculionidae. The record is from RNAcentral.
GGUAAAGUGGCUGACUUAGGUGAUAAACUGUAAAUUUAUUUAUGAUUUUUAAUCCUUUACCA